Caenorhabditis elegans is the source of this 21-nucleotide non-coding RNA. The record is from Ensembl. NCBI's taxonomy places the organism in Eukaryota, Metazoa, Nematoda, Chromadorea, Rhabditida, Rhabditidae.
UUGGAGUCUAUUUCCGUAAAU